GCCUCUAUGGCACAGGGGUAAUGCGUGUCACUCGUACAGUAAUUGAGCUUGCGGUGUUAUGACAAGAUCCGCGGUUCGAUUCCGCGUGGAGGCA
This 94-nucleotide transfer RNA is filed under the name Xylaria sp. FL1777. Its description in RNAcentral is "tRNA-Thr". It matches the Rfam family "tRNA". From Rfam's summary of the family: Transfer RNA (tRNA) molecules are approximately 80 nucleotides in length. Their secondary structure includes four short double-helical elements and three loops (D, anti-codon, and T loops). The record is from RNAcentral. Lineage: Eukaryota; Fungi; Ascomycota; Sordariomycetes; Xylariales; Xylariaceae.